Molecule: ribosomal RNA, 113 nt
Filed under: Periophthalmus magnuspinnatus
Lineage: Eukaryota; Metazoa; Chordata; Actinopteri; Gobiiformes; Gobiidae
Source: RNAcentral
CGUUAAGUAUCUCGACGACGCCUGAUUUCGUCUGAUCUCAGGAAGUUCAGCGGGGUUGGGUCUGGUUCAUAUUUGGAUGGGAGACCUCCAGCUAUAGGUAAAAGAUUUAAGGA